CAGCCAUCAUUUAAAGAAAGCGUAACAGCUCACCAUUCGACCCCGGCUUGCCGGGAGGGCAAAGUGCGCCGAAAAUAUACCGAGGCUCAAGCAAACUACCGAAGACGAAGAUUUUGUAUUUUACAAUUUAGUAGGGGAGCGUUCUCAAGGCAGUGAAGCUUUGCCGUGAGGCAGGGUGGAGCGUUGAGAAGUGAGAAUGCUGGCAUGAGUAGCGUGAUCCCGGUGAGAAACCGGGAUGCCGAAAGCCCAAGGUUUCCUCAGCAACGUUAGUCGGCUGAGGGUUAAGCGACCCUUAGGUGAGCCCUCCUAUUUGGAGGGGUAGCCGAUGGAUAGCCGGUUAAUAUUCCGGCCUUUUCAUCAAUUCGUUAUUAGAUGGGUGGUGACGUAUUUUGAUAGAUCUGGUGUUCCAGUGGAAUUGGAGCGCUUGGGAAGUAAGUUAGAGGUGGUUGGCAAAUCCGCCACCUUGAUGCCCUUAACGGGCGCAAACGAACUUCAUGAUGACCCCGAGCUUUGCAAGGGGGAACAGAUCGAGUUAGGAUACCAAGAAAAGCCUCGCAUUGAGAAUUGAUGAAAUCCGUACCGCAAACCGACACAGGUGGGCAGGUCGAGUAGACCAAGGCAAUCGAGUAAAAGAGGAUCAAGGAACUCAGCAAAAAAGCUGGGCGUAACUUCGGGAGAUGCCCUGCCACUUUUAGUGGCCGCAGCAAACGAAUGUUCGGCGACUGUUUACCAAAAACACAGGUCCCUGCAAACCCGUAAGGGGAAGUAUAGGGGCUGAUGUCUGUCCAGUGCCGGAAGGUUAAGGGGAUUUCUUGGAUUUCUUCGGAAAUCUAUGGGAUGAACUGAAGCCCCGGUGAACGACGGCAGUAACUCUAACUGUCCAAAGGUAGCGAAGUCCAUUGUCGGGUAAGUUCCGACCAGUAUGAAAGACUCAACGACCGAACAACUGUCUCCGAUCCUUUACUCGGCGAAAUUGAAAUACCGGUCAAUAUGCCGGUUAGUUAUUGUUGGACAAAAAGACCCCGUGGAGCUUCACUAGAGCUUAACAUUGAGGAUGGCCUGAUGUUUGUUGAGAAUAGGUGGGAGGACUUCGGUCCGUCAGUGAAAUACCACUCUUCAUCAUUCCUGAAUCUAACCCAUCCUGUCUGGAAACGGCAGGGGGGACAGUGUUUGGUGGCUAGUUUGACUGGGGCAGUCGCCUGCUAAAAAGUAACGCGGGCGCACAAAGGUUGGCUAGGCUCGGACAGAAAUCGAGCUGAUAGUGCAAGGGCAUAAGCCAGCUUAACUGCAAGACCGUUGGGUCGAGCCUGUCAAACUUUAUUUUCUUCCUUUCUUUGAUUGGAAGGUUUUAAAGGGAGACAGCUGAAGUUCUACUUCGGAGAUACGAAAGUAGGUCCUAGUGAUCUUCCUUCGCCAUAUGGUAUGGCAAGGAACUUAUCCGAUAAAAGUUACCCCGGGGAUAACAGNNGUUGGUCUGUUCGCCCAUUAAAGCGCCGCGUUAGCUGGGUUCAGAACGUUUCAAGACAGUUCGGACUCUAUCCACAAUAACCGUUCGAUUUCUGAGGGAAUCCGACCACAGUACGAGAGGACCUGGUUGGGGAAACCUCUGGUGUGCCGGUUGUCCUGCCAAGGGCAUUGCCGGGUAGCUAUGUUUCCAACGGAUAACUGCUGAAAGCAUCUAAAGCGGGAAGCCGUCCCCAAGAUUAGAAAUCGCAUCUCACCUUCGGGUGAGAGAUAGACCCCCAGGAGACUACUGGGUAUGGGUGGCAGGUGUAAGACUAGCAAUAGUUUUAGCCGAACCAUUCCUAAUGGUCGAGUAAAAACAAAAU
RNAcentral lists this ribosomal RNA (1829 nucleotides) under Patescibacteria group bacterium UBA6130. RNAcentral describes it as "bacterial LSU rRNA". It matches the Rfam family "Bacterial large subunit ribosomal RNA", at positions 1113 to 2925 of the family's 2925-position model. The record is from RNAcentral.